CCGUCGCCGUCAUCAUCGCGGCCACCGUCAUUUCCGUUGCUCGGCAGCACAUCAAGGAGGUCCGGUGUGGCCUGCUUUAUCCGUCCUGAGCACCAAACCGAGUCGGGGCGGCCCAUACGCUCUGCAUUGCCGCCGUCUCCUUGCCACGACCGCCGUCUCUCGUCGUCAAAUUCGACGCAUCCCGGUCACCCCGCGCUCGCUGACCUCAACCACAAACACCAGGGUGAGCAUCCCCUUCGAUUCCCCCAUGUCUCCGCUUCGAUUUGUACCCGUGCACGCCACCCUCCAUCAUGGCCGAAUCUCGGCGUCCGCGUACGCGCUCAUGCUGCUGCUUUGCUGAUGCUACUACCGCUAUGUUGCUUGCUCAUGCUACUGCCGCUAUGAUGCUGUUGCUGUUGUGCCAUUGCUCCUCUGCCCGCGCUAGCUGCUACUGCUCCUUCUACCGCCGCGCCCCUGGCCGUUCAUGCCUGCCUACGCCUACACUGCCGCUCUACUGCCACUGUUUGCUGCUUGUACUGCUGCUAGCUGCCCCUUGUGCCGUCGCUGCUGUUUGCCGCCGCCGCCGCCGCCUUCUGCGUCGCUCCUGUUGCUGCCGCUACUGUCUGUCGAUGCCGCUGCUCGCUGCCGCCGCUGCUACGCCGGCCAUGGCCGAGCUAUGAGUGUAGUGUGUGUGUGUUCUGCAUAGUGUGUGUCCGUGCAGCUGGACAUGGCCGUGUGCGCCCGUGUGUGCUGAGAGCAGCGUGGUGUGUGUGUGCAGCGUGGUGUGUGAGUGUGCCGUGCGUGUGGCGGGCUGGGCUAUGCCCAGUAGUGGCCAGGCCCUUGCUUAGAUUUAGUACUACUAGGUGCGUGUGUUCUGCUAAGUUAGUCUACUACUAGUAGAUGACAUGUAAGCCCCUUUAAAUAAGUUAGAUUUAUUUAUUUGUUUAGGUAAAUAGUCUAUGACAUGUGGGCCACAACUGCCCUUUGACUAGCCAAAAUUGACUUAGUCAAUUCGGUUUAAGCUAAAUAUAAUAAUUCCAAAAAUUCAAAUAAACUUUGAAAAAUCAUAUAAAAUAAUCCGUAUUUCGGAUGAAAAAGUUGUAUACAUGAAAGUUGCUCAGAACGACGAGACGAAUCCAAAUACGCGGUCCGUUCGCCCGCCACAUGUUCCUAGCAUAGCGAACAUGGAACAUUUCCCCUCCGGUCAUCUGUCUGACGCAGGUCCGGAAUAGGGAAAACUUUCCCGGAUGUUAUCCCCCUUCGCCGGUAUCGUGUAGCACCGCGUUAGAACAUGUCUAGCUAUGCCUGUUGUCCUAUUAUGCACUUGCUUGCUAUGUAUUUACUGUUUCUCCCCCCUAUUCUCUCCGGUAGACCCCGAGACCGAUGUUGUCCCUGUGAUCGACUACGACGACGACGACCCCCUCCUUGCCAGAGCAAUCAGGCAAGCCCCCCCUUUGAUCAUCCCGAUAUCGCCCAUUCCAUUCUCUCAUGCUUGCAUUAGAUUUUGCUAUUGUUAUUGUUUGCUCCUAUUCUGAUGCAUAGCAUGUUUAUUGUAACCUGCUUAUUGUUACCUACCUGCUUAUCCUAAACUGCUUAGUAUAGGUUGGUUAGUGAUCCACCAGUGACCUCCACCUUGUCCUUGUUGCCCCUGCUUCAUCAUCGAAGACCCGAUCAACGGGAUCGAAGACCAGGCCCCGACACCGCACAUCACUUCCCCUUAGUUGCUCGACACUACUGGGUUACUAUCGAGUGCCGAGGGUGAGGCCUCAUCAGCACUUCUGAUGUUAACCCGCUAGUGUAGUUAUUCGGUCGUGGUCAUCGAGGGUGAUUCCGCCUUAACCACUUCCGAUACGACUCUGUCGUGCAACCCCUCAAGUGUGAACCUCGAGGGUGGUCCCUCUUACGUUCACCUUGAUGAUUACAUCGAGUAGAAUUCACCGGGGGUGAUUCCUCGGGUUUUCCCCUUGAUGUUUGGACACACGGUUACUAUGGUUACUAUGACUUUACGCUGAACCAUGUUACUAAAGACGGGUCGACCUUGAGGGGUACCCGCGCGAGCAUAAUUGCGAGUGAUGUGGAUUCGGGUUGACCUAGAAGGUGCCCGCGAGAUAAUUACGAGGCAUGGCCGGGCAUUCCUAGCCCUUGCCGCAAGUCCUCGAGACGGGGCGACGGGUCACAUCUUUCGUGAGUCUCUGUUUGUUACCGCGCAUUCCUAAUCCACUACGAUUUGGAUAUUUGAUCCGAGGAGCCUCUGGCCUGAUAGCACUAACCAUCACGUGGGCAUAGUAUGGGCGUUCUGCGUCGUAUGCAUCAACCGAAGCUUAAUAGACGUCAUGCGACUGAGCGGCGCGCGCCGGGUUGGACUGGUAAGCUCCCGCCUUUUUUAAGGAGGUAGCUAGGUCUGCUCACCGGCCGCCCACGCAACGUGCAGUAGUUCCCGGGGCGAUGGCCCAUGACCCCUGGGGGCAUAGGUUUAGUCCGGCGUGCUUGACCUCUCUAUUAAGCCUAGGUCGGGUUGCGGCGUAUUGUUUGGCCGAGGCCGGGCAUGACCCAGGAAAGUGUGUCCGGCCGGAGUUAAUCGAGCGUGGUGGGUAAGUUGGUGCACCCCUGCAGGGAAGAAAACAUCUAUCGAUAGCCUGUCCUACGGUAACGGACACUUGGAGUUGUAUCCCGAUCGAUACAACUAGAACUGGAUACUUGAGAUGAGACAUGGAUAUGAGGUGAUAACUAGAUAGUAUGGCUCUGGGAUUGCUUUCUCGCAGGGAGUCGAGAAAGGAUCUCUGGCUGAGGUUGAUAACACUUCUACUACUUUACUUUAUGCUACUCUACUCCCUCAUGUUGCUACAAGAUGGUGGUUUCCAGAAGAUGCUAGUCUUCGAUAGGACUAGGCUCUCCCCUCUAUUCUGGCAUUUCUGCAGCCCAGUCCACAUAUACAUCCUUCCUUUGAUAAUGUUGCAUAUGUAGUGUAGAUCCUUGCUUGCGAGUACUUGGAUGAGUACUCACGAUUGCUUUGCUCCCCUUUUUCCACCUCUUUCCAUUCUUCUCGGAUGUUGCAAUCAGAUGGUGGAGUCCAGGAGCCAGAUGCCAUCUUUGACGACUACUACUACCCCGAGGGUGCCUACUACUACACGGAGGCCGCCGACGACCAGGAGUAGUUAGGAGGCUCUCGGGCAGGAGGCCGUGCCUUUUCGGUCGUAGAUGCUUUUGUGCUAGCCUUCUUAAGGCAAACUUGUCUAACUUAUGUCUGUACUCAGAUAUUGUUGCUUCCGCUGACUCUUGUGUAUUCGAGCUUAUGUAUUCGAGCCCUCGAGGCCCCUGGCUUGUAAUAUAAAGCUUGUAUUAUUUUAUUUUGUGUCUAGAGCUGUGUUGUGAUAUCUUCCCAUGAGUCCUUGAUCUUGAUCAUACACAUUUGCGUGUAUGAUUAGUGUACGAUUGAAUCGAGGGCGUCACAAGUUGGUAUCAGAGCCGACUGCCUGUAGGUAGCCCCCUUUCCAACUCCUUGGUCGAAGUUGAGUCUAGUCAAUGAAAAACUUUUACUAACUUGGUAGUGUGGCUUAUGGGCCCAUGUCGCUAUUGGGUGGUAUUAGAAUCUUUUACUCCUCAUCUAUACUCUGGGACUCUGAUCUCUCUUCCAUUCGGGUUAAACGAAUUUACUAACUCUGACAUUAGGCUCACGUACCCACUUCCUCCCGGAGAGCCCCGGCAUUAUCGAUGAUCGCCUGCUUCACCAGAAGAUUUCGAAGUUACUCUACGUUGUUCUCUCGAGACUUUGUGCCAAUGCUUUUGCAAUUCCCUCCCAUCGAUAAACCCCUAUGAAUAACCGCGUACGCUUCCCAUUCAUAUAAUCAUUCCCCAUUGAUCUUGUUAUUACAAGAUACCCCGAAAUUCUCUCUAUUGUUCCGAGAAUACUGUGUCUACUGCCUUGUAGUUCUUUGCCACAUGAAUACCCCUUCGGAGAAUUCCUCGCCCUUACCGAGUAUCCGCUCAUCCCCAGUUGUUCAUGUGUUUCACAAAAGUCUUCGAAAUACCAUUUGAUCUUCCGUAAAUACUCAGUAGCGUAUUGUUGUUGAAUUUCUUACUUGCUUGCAUUAUGGUUAAUCCCAUAAGUCUAGUAAUCUUGUUGGCAUCACUUGUCACUAGCAUUUUGAGUCCGUCGAUUCAAUAUGUUGCAGAUGAUCGCAAUCCUCAGACAAAACUAGUAUUCAUACUUUUGGCUCAGACCUCACUCCGGACAUGAGCUGGUGUUCCGCAAAUCAAACCUUGAUUGAUUAUCAGUCUAGAUCUAUUCAACUUACUUGUCUUUGAACAAAGCCUCUGCUUCUGAUCCCCCGUUUUGGAAAUCAUAAUUCCUUUACACUUCAACGUUGCAUUUGUCAGUUGUUUCUAUAAUCCCAUCUCAUUGCAUUCUUUUCUUCGUCUGAUCGGGUACCGAUACCCACAUCAGCUCUGUUAUGUGUCAUCAGAUCUUUUGUUGGACUACCAUCCAACAGUGUCCUUCAUUUUUAAUCACCUUGUGAAUUCUUCCCUGAUACAUAAUACCUUUGGUAAAUUGUAUCCCCUACUUUUGUCUACCAUGCUCUGCUUCCGAGCUUGAGUUAAUUACCUAUGAAGUUUUUGCAAAUGUUCCUAAGAUGCCCCGACGGGUUGAACUAAUGCUUUCCCUAAUUUGUGUGAACCAAGAAAUUUCUAUGGGUCAUACUCUACCGGUGUUACGUCGGAUCACAAUUUCUACACUACAACUUCGUCAAAGGCGAGAAGUAAAUAAAAGGUUAGGCAUUGAAGAAGUGGGAGUCGACCUUGAACCUUUGUGUUCAUGCCCAUGGACCCGAUGUAGAACUUAUCAUGGAAGCUGCUCGUAAAAAUAAUUAUUUCUUUGGUACAAGCUCAUCUUGUACCUAUGAAUUGAUCCUUUGCAACCAUGGUUCCGACCAUAUUUCCUCCUUGAUUCCAAUUACUGGAUAAGUUAAAAUACUUAUCCUCUGCAAAUCAUUUCCCCCGUCCAACCUCUACUCGGAUUUACCUUCCGGCAUUACACCUAGUACUUGAUACUAGGAAGUUUUAUAACCCAUCACAUCAUUCCUAGCCUGAUCGGCUAUACUUUUAUCAUGUCAACUUUUAACUGUGCUACCUGGUCCUUAUGCCCGGAGCAACUUCCGACGAUGAGCUAAGCUUACGUCGAUCUUCCUCAUCUUAUCAUUUCACCUCGAACAACAAGCUUGACUUCGAGCUUGUGUCGAAUCCGUGGUUCUCAUAGCCUUUCACUUCAUCCUUCCUUUUCUGCUCGAUGGCAUCUUCAUAGAGUCUCUCGACAAAAUUUGUCGUGAUCACCGUCAACACUUUGGCUUCUUCAAAGAUGUCAAUUAAAUUCAUGGCUAGAAAUACCAUCCCUGCCCCUCGAUGAUUUGUGAUAUCAUCGAUGACGUCUUGACUUUCUGCCAACACGGACCUGGUUGUGCUUGGUUAUUCCUUACGUUCUGAGAUAAUCUUGGAAUUGUUUCUCGGCAUCUCUUGAGAUCUUCGAACCCAAUCUUUAAUUGACACCAUAUCAUUGCUGCAUCGAAGCAUGACGGUGGUAUUCCGAAUAUCAACAGGAACAUCGGAAGCAUAAUACAACAUGUUUCUCGUUCAAUUACCCUCACACCGUUGUAUGGGUAAUACCUUGAUUCUUCCCUCGCCCCAUUAUCUAAAUGCUUUUGAACUUGCUGUCCUAUCAAGUAUAUCCUGCUCCGCUUUUCCUUUGGAAGGAUAUACUCCCAACUCUUAUGUGUAAACACAUUUUCCUUUCCAUUGGUCUGAUUAAUCCGAUAAUUUCAUUUUCCUUUCCAUUGGUUUGUUUAACCUUCUUGUGAUCUAUAUGAUAUAAGCAGAAAUAAGUCUCUGCUUAUAAAACGCCCCGAUGUACAACCUUGUCAGUGAGACCCUGUUACUAUUGUUGAUGACAUUCCGGUAACCACCGAUGGACGCGAACCUUGCCGAUUGGUCUGCCUCGUUCCAACGAGCAGGAAAAUGGUUCUCUUCGUCCCUCGCCCUUGGUAUCGACGUCGUUGCCAACAUAACUGACAGCUUGUCAUCUGACAUGCCUUGCUAUCAUCUGUGGAAGAUGUCAGCGCCUUUCCUACCUUUAACCCACAUGGUGGGCCCAUAACCCACAGUUCCACAGGAUCGAAAUCUGACUCUCCUGUACACCCUUGUCGCCAAAGUUAUUCCUCACCCUGGCUUCGCAUGUAAUUCACGAACCACCUUCCUAGAGAUGAUCUACUCUGGUAUCAAAUGCAACACUUAUUCCGAUUGCUCCGAACCCCUUUCACCCUCUGUUUCAGGCAACAAACUAUUGCCUACCCGGUUGAAGCUUCUUAUUGCACCUCCUUACCUUGCUCUCAACGUCUUUCUUGAAUUUUGACUCGAGAGGUGCCUCUAUGCCACGUUCACUGAGAUAGCCCCCAGGUACCUAUCUUAUGUUGAGCUCCAUCCUUCCCGAGUCUUUCCCCCUUACUCCACCCCUAAAAUCUCGGGACAAGAUUUCUUAUAGUGCACGAGAUUUGUAACACCUCCAGUGUCAUGCUACAGUAAACUCUUAUUUGCCACAUCAUCAUAAUUAAAUUUUGCUAAUCAUCACUUUGUCCCAAACCUACCUCAAAUUCAAAUUUAAAAAAAAGUCAAAAUUAUUUCUCCUCAAGCUAUAAAACUAAAAUGUUCGAAUAGUUCUAUACAAUUUCCCUGAUGAAUGCCAUGUUGAAACCAACUUGGUUUGACUCAAAAUAAAUUCCUAGGAAAUUAAUAAGUGGCCCAAAGCAUUUAAAUUGGCUUUUUCAAAAUAAGCAAAUAUUUAUAAUUUUCCAAAUGAUGCGAAACAUUGUGUGUGGUCUCAAAAUAUUGCAAUACUAAUUAUGUGGCCAUCUAGACUUUUUACAAAACUCUUUUGCUAACAAAUUAAUAUGCAAAACAGAGUUAUAAAAAAUAGGAAGCAUAAAAGAGAGAGAGGUGCUACUGGGCAUUUGGCCCAGCUAGCUACACAAAAGACCCAGCCCACCCCCGCUUGUCCUGUUCCUCACGCUACAGGGGACAAGGGGGGCCGUGGAGGCCAUCCGCCGGCGAUGGCCGUGCGUGGCGGCCAUCCGUCCCCUGCCCCUGCCUACAAAGCCCCCCCGGGCGCCCCCUCGAAACCCUAGCGCCCUCCUCCUCUCGCCCCAUCUCCCUCCCUCGCGCUCGGCCUCGUCGGCCUCCUCCGCCCCACCUCGCCGUCGCCGUCAUCAUCGCGGCCACCGUCGUUUCUGUUGCUCGGCAGCACAUCAAGGAGGUCCGGUGUGGCCUGCUUUGUCCGUCCUGAGCACCAAACCGAGUCGGGGCGGCCCAUACGCUCUGCAUCGCCGUCGUCUCCUCGCCACGACCGCCGUCUCUCGUCGUCAAAUUCAACGCAUCCCGGUCACCCCGCGCUCGCUGACCUCAACCACAAACACCAGGGUGAGCAUCCCCUUCGAUUCCCCCAUGUCUCCGCUUUGAUUUGUACCCGUGCACGCCACCCUCCGUCAUGGCCGGAUCUCGGCGUCCGCGUACGCGCUCAUGCUGCUGCUUUGCUGAUGCUACUGCCGCUAUGAUGCUGUUGCUGUUGUGCCGUUGCUCCUCUGCCCGCGCUAGUUGCUACUGCUCCUUCUACCGCCGCGCCCUUGGCCGUCCGUGCCCGCCUACGCCUACACUGCCGCUCUACUGCCACUGUUUGCUGCUUGUACUGCUGCUGGCUGCCCCUUGUGCCGUCGCUGCUGUUUGCCGCCGCCGCCGCCGCCUUCUGCGUCGCUCCUGUUGCUGCCGCUACUGUCUGUUGAUGCCGCUGCUCGCUACCACGGCUGCUACGGCCGGCCAUGGCCGAGCUGUGAGUGUAGUGUGUGUGUGUUCUGCAUAGUGUGUGUCCGUGCAGCUGGACAUGGCCGUGUGCGCCCGUGUGUGCUGAGAGCUGCGUGGUGUGUGUGUGUGUGUGCAGCGUGGUGUGUGAGUGCGCCGUGCGUGUGGCCGGCUGGGCUAUGCCCAGUAGUGGCCAGGCCCUUGCUUAGAUUUAGUACUACUAGGUGCGUGCGUUCUGCUAAGUAAGUAUAAUACUAGUAGAUGACAUGUAAGCCCCUUUAAAUAAGUUAGAUUUAUUUAUUUGUUUAGGUAAAUAGUCUAUGACAUGUGGGCCACAACUGCCCUUUGACUAGCCAAAAUUGACUUAGUCAAUUCGGUUUAAGCUAAAUAUAAUAAUUCCAAAAAUUCAAAUAAACUUUGAAAAAUCAUAUGGAAAUCAUUAGAACACGUCUAGCUAUGCCCAUUGUCCUGUUAUGCACUUGCUUGCUAUGUAUUUACUGUCCCCCCCCAUUCUCUCCGGUAGACCCAGAGACCGAUGUUGCCCCUGUGAUCGACUACGUCGACGACGACCCCCUCCUUGCCAGAGCAAUCAGGCAAGCCCCCCCUUUGAUCAUCCCGAUAUCGCCCAUUCCAUUCUCUCAUGCUUGCAUUAGAUUUUGCUAUUGUUAUUGUUUGCUCCUAUUCUGAUGCAUAGCAUGUUUAUUGUAACCUGCUUUUGUUACCUACCUGCUUAUCCUAAACUGCUUAGUAUAGGUUGGUUAGUGAUCCACCAGUGACCCCCACCUUGUCCUUGUUGCCCCUGCUUCAUCAUCGAAGACCCGAUCAACGGGAUCGAAGACCAGGCCCCGACACCGCACAUCACUUCCCCUUAGUUGCUCGACACUACUGGGUUACUAUCGAGUGCCGAGGGUGAGGCCUCAUCAGCACUUAUGAUGUUAACCCGCUAGUGUAGUUAUUCGGUCGUGGUCAUCGAGGGUGAUUCUGCCUUAACCACUUCCGAUACGACUCUGUUGUGCAACCCCUCAAGUGUGAACCUCGAGGGUGGUCCCUCUUACGUUCACCUUGAUGAUUACAUCGAGUGGAAUUCACCGGGGGUGAUUCCUCGGGUUUUCCCCUUGAUGUUUGGACACACGGUUACUAUGGUUACUAUGACUUUACACUGAACCAUGUUACUAAAGACAGGUCGACCCUGAGGGGUACCCGCGCGAGCAUAAUUGCGAGUGAUGUGGAGUCGGGUUGACCUGGAAGGUGCCCGCGAGAUAAUUACGAGGCGUGCCCGGGCAUUCCUAGCCCUUGCCGCAAGUCCUCGAGAUGGGGCGACGGGGUCACAUCUUUCAUGAGUCUCUGCUUGUUACCGCGCGUUCCUAAUCCACUACGAUUUGGAUAUUUGAUCCGAGGGGCCUCUGGCCUGAUAGCACUAACCAUCACGUGGGCAUAGUAUGGGCGUUCUGCGUCGUAUGCAUCAGCCGGAGCUUAAUAGAUGUCAUGCGACUGAGCGGCGCGCGCCGGGUUGGACCGGUAAGCUCCCGCCUUUUUAAAGGAGGUAGCUAGGUCUGCUCACCGGCCGCCCACGCAAUGUGCAGGAGUUCCCGGGGCGAUGGCCCAUGACCCCUGGGGGCAUAGGUUUAGUCCGGCGUGCUUGACCUCUCUAUUAAGCCUAGGUCGGGUUGCGGCGUAUUGUUUGGCCGAGGUCGGGCAUGACCCAGGAAAGUGUGUCCGGCCGGAGUUAAUCGAGCAUGGUGGGUAAGUUGGUGCACCCCUGCAGGGAAGAAAACAUCUAUCGAUAGCCUGGCCUACAGUAACGGACACUUGGAGUUGUAUCCUGAUCGAUACAACUAGAACUGGAUACUUGAGAUGAGACAUGGAUAUGAGGUGAUAACUAGAUAGUAUGGCUCUGGGAUUGCUUUCUCGCAGGGAGUCGAGAAAGGAUCUCUAGCUGAGGUUGAUAACACUUCUACUACUUUACUUUAUGCUACUCUACUCCCUCAUGUUGCUACAAGAUGGUGGUUUCCAGAAGAUGCUAGUCUUCGAUAGGACUAGGCUCUCCCCUCUAUUCUGGCAUUUCUGCAGCCCAGUCCACAUAUACAUCCUUCCUUUGAUAAUGUUGCAUAUGUAGUGUAGAUCCUUGCUUGCAAGUACUUUGGAUGAGUACUCACGGUUGCUUUGCUCCCCUUUUUCCACCUCUUUCCAUUCUUCUCGGAUGUUGCAAUCAGAUGGUGGAGUCCAGGAGCCAGAUGCCAUCUUUGACGACUACUACUACCCCGAGGGUGCCUACUACUACACGGAGGCCGCCGACGACCAGGAGUAGUUAGGAGGCUCCCGGGCAGGAGGCCUUGCCUUUUCGAUCGUAGAUGCUUUUGUGCUAGCCUUCUUAAGGCAAACUUGUCUAACUUAUGUCUGUGCUCAGAUAUUGUUGCUUCCGCUGACUCUUGUGUAUUCGAGCUUAUGUAUUCGAGCCCUCGAGGGCCCUGGCUUGUAAUAUAAAGCCUGUAUUAUUUUAUUUUUUGUCUAGAGUUGUGUUGUGAUAUCUUCCCGUGAGUCCUUGAUAUUGAUCGUACACAUUUGCGUGUAUGAUUAGUGUACAAUUGAAUCGAGGGCGUCACAUAUUUGAAGGAAAUAUGCCCUAGAGGCAGCAAUAAAGUUGUUAUUUAUAUUUCCUUAUAUCAUGAUAAAUGUUUAUUAUUCAUACUAAAAUUGUAUUAACCGG
RNAcentral lists this long non-coding RNA (10522 nucleotides) under Triticum aestivum (bread wheat). RNAcentral describes it as "long non-coding RNA (TAES_LNC018182)". Lineage: Eukaryota; Viridiplantae; Streptophyta; Magnoliopsida; Poales; Poaceae. The record is from RNAcentral.